Long non-coding RNA from Coregonus clupeaformis (lake whitefish), 184 nucleotides. RefSeq lists it as uncharacterized. NCBI's taxonomy places the organism in Eukaryota, Metazoa, Chordata, Actinopteri, Salmoniformes, Salmonidae. The transcript has 3 exons. The record is from RefSeq and is a predicted model, not a curated record.
GGGAGAAAGGCAACAACAAUACACGAUACGAACAACAAUAAUGACUCUGAUACUGGCUCUGACUAUUCUGAAGGUGAUGUGAAAAGGAUCAAGCACAAGAGUAAACGAAAGGUCUCCCCUGUGGAGAAAGCAAAGGAGACCAAGUAGAAAGAGAAGAAGCAGAGCAUCUAUCCAGCUGUGGCGG